This 439-nucleotide ribosomal RNA is filed under the name uncultured bacterium. RNAcentral's name for it is "partial 16S ribosomal RNA". It matches the Rfam family "Bacterial small subunit ribosomal RNA", at positions 339 to 795 of the family's 1533-position model. The record is from RNAcentral.
CUACGGGCCGCAGCAGUGAGGAAUAUUGCACAAUGGGGGAAACCCUGAUGCAGCAACGCCGCGUGGAGGAUGACGCAUUUCGGUGUGUAAACUCCUUUUAUGAGUCAAGAAAAUGACGGUAGCUCAUGAAUAAGCACCGGCUAACUCCGUGCCAGCAGCCGCGGUAAUACGGAGGGUGCAAGCGUUACUCGGAAUCACUGGGCGUAAAGGACGCGUAGGCGGGAUGUCAAGUCAGGUGUGAAAUCCUAUGGCUCAACCAUAGAACUGCACUUGAAACUGGCAACCUAGAGUAUGGGAGGGGGAGAUGGAAUUAGUGGUGUAGGGGUAAAAUCCGUAGAUAUCACUAGGAAUACCGAAAGCGAAGGCGAUCUCCUGGAACAUUACUGACGCUAAGGCGUGAAAGCGUGGGGAGCAAACAGGAUUAGAUACCCCCGUAGUC